RNAcentral lists this ribosomal RNA (442 nucleotides) under uncultured bacterium. RNAcentral's name for it is "partial 16S ribosomal RNA". It matches the Rfam family "Bacterial small subunit ribosomal RNA", at positions 338 to 795 of the family's 1533-position model. The record is from RNAcentral.
CCUACGGGAGGCAGCAGUGGGGAAUAUUGGGCAAUGGGCGCAAGCCUGACCCAGCAACGCCGCGUGAAGGAAGAAGGCUUUCGGGUUGUAAACUUCUUUUAUUGAGGACGAAACAAAUGACGGUACUCAAUGAAUAAGCCACGGCUAACUACGUGCCAGCAGCCGCGGUAAUACGUAGGUGGCAAGCGUUAUCCGGAUUUACUGGGUGUAAAGGGUGCGCAGGCGGUCUGUUAAGUCAGCGGUCAAAGCCCGGGGCUCAACCCCGGCCCGCCGUUGAAACUGGCAGUCUCGAGUUGGAGAGAAGUAUGCGGAAUGCGCGGUGUAGCGGUGAAAUGCAUAGAUAUCGCGCAGAACUCCGAUUGCGAAGGCAGCAUGCCGGCUCCACACUGACGCUGAGGCACGAAAGCGUGGGUAUCGAACAGGAUUAGAUACCCCGGUAGUC